RNAcentral lists this long non-coding RNA (449 nucleotides) under Homo sapiens (human). Its description in RNAcentral is "HSALNT0017749". The stretch from base 372 to 448 matches the Rfam family "Small nucleolar RNA SNORD81". The record is from RNAcentral. Lineage: Eukaryota; Metazoa; Chordata; Mammalia; Primates; Hominidae.
GUCGACUCCUGUGAGGUAUGGUGCUGGGUGCAGAUGCAGUGUGGCUCUGGAUAGCACCUUAUGGACAGUUGUGUCCCCAAGGAAGGAUGAGAAUAGCUACUGAAGUCCUAAAGAGCAAGCCUAACUCAAGCCAUUGGCACACAGGCAUUAGACAGAAAGCUGGAAGUUGAAAUGGUGGAGUCCAACUUGCCUGGACCAGCUUAAUGGUUCUGCUCCUGGUAACGUUUUUAUCCAUGGAUGACUUGCUUGGGUAAGGACAUGAAGACAGUUCCUGUCAUACCUUUUAAAGGGUUUUUAAUGACCACAACAAGCAAGCAUGCAGCUUACUGCUUGAAAGGUGAGGAUUGGAAAUGUUGGGACUAUUAUAAUUGCAGAAUACAUGAUGAUCUCAAUCCAACUUGAACUCUCUCACUGAUUACUUGAUGACAAUAAAAUAUCUGAUAUUCUGC